Molecule: long non-coding RNA, 1521 nt
Filed under: Anas zonorhyncha (Eastern spot-billed duck)
Lineage: Eukaryota; Metazoa; Chordata; Aves; Anseriformes; Anatidae
Description: lncRNA (ENSAZOG00000018198.1)
Source: RNAcentral
AGUGUUCCUGCUGUAUUUUUGUGUUCCUGCUGUAUUUCGGUGUUCCUAAGGCCUCCGUCACCUUCCUGUGUCCCCGUGUGAGGGAUCAGCAGCAGCACUGGAAUAUUUUCACUGCCGUCCAUGUGCUCCACGGCCGCCGCGCUCCAGCAGUGUGUGGCUNNNNNNNNNNCCCCCCCCCCGCGGCCUCCUGCUGGGCUGCCCAGGCACCAGAGGGGGAAUUGGGCAUUUCCAGCACAUCUCGCUCCAAGUGCCUCUGCUGGGGCAAAGACUGCUCAUCCUAUUUGGAGUCACAAAUACCAACGGAGUCACAGCCACUUCUUGUCUUAUGCCUCCUGUUGGGCAGAAUGGCCUCGUGGCUGGGCCAGGAUGCACCAGAGAGAUGAUUUAUCAGUGUCACUGCAGAUUUGGCAUCCAUACCAUACAUCAGGGGCAGGAGCUGCCUGUCCCGGGCUCCCCACGAGGUGGCAAUGCUGCUCUCCUGUGCAGGAGCAGCUCUGCCGCCAGGAAAAUCUCAGUGUGUGGGGCCGUGGCGGUGUCUGGGGAGCUUCCAGGUGCGUUUUGGGAUCACCAGGUGGAGCGGAGAGCCCCCGGAGCGGUUUGUGUCCUGCUUUCCUGGUCCCACGGCACCGCAGUGGUGCUCGGGGCUGGGGCUGGCUUCUGGAAACCACUUCAAACCUUGGCAAUGAGGGGCACAGACGGGGCACGGCCGGGCUCUGCGGUGAGGAAACCCACAGACGGAGAGGGCAGGGGCUGCCCAGUGCCCAUGCUGUGGCUGCAGAGGAGCUGCAAGGGGAAAAGCCCCCGAGGGCACCGUGUGUGCACCCUGUGUGCGGGGUCCUGGGUGCUUUUGGGUGGGCGACUGACCUUUGGUGAGGCCACAACGCCGUGCUCUAGGGAUGGGAGGGAAUCCUCCCAGCCUUUAGCACCCACAAAUCAGCUUUUCUCCUCUCGCAUCCUUCCUGCAACCUCCACGUGACUGCAUGGACCCAGGUUCGGGACAAGCUGGAUUUUUGACGCAUGCUGUUUGAUCCCAUAAAUCAGCGCCGACAGUCAUUAGCCCUGAUGAUUAAUUAACCUGCUCCUGGAAAGCGCUGGGGCACGGCCGGGGUGAGCCCGGUUGUCACGGGGCCAGCGGCGGCGCAGGGCAUCCCCGCGCUGUGUGCUCAGAGGCCACAUUCCCUUUGUGCACGUGGGAAUUCCUGGAAAUUCACAUCCCAAAGUUUGCAAACCCUGGGAAAAAAUAAAAAUAAAAAAUUAAUGAGCGAGGGAAACGACCUCUGCCCACCCAGGGGAUGCUCUCUGUGCCACCUCCCCCCCCGAUCUGUGGGAUGCUGCAGGGACGGAGGGGCUGUAACGGGGACAUUCAAAGGCAGUUUCCAAAGCAUCCUCCUGGACACCGCAGCCUGUCCCAAGGCCACCCCUGGCUCCUGCCUCACCCGGGGACCCUCCAUCAGGAAUUUGCCUCCAGCUCUGUGCCUGUUGCUGCUUUCUAGCGGGGCGCACGCAGCCCGGGCUUUGUGG